Molecule: transfer RNA, 75 nt
Filed under: Aliivibrio fischeri
Lineage: Bacteria; Pseudomonadati; Pseudomonadota; Gammaproteobacteria; Vibrionales; Vibrionaceae
Also listed under: 3 other names
Description: tRNA-Val
Rfam family: tRNA
About the family: Transfer RNA (tRNA) molecules are approximately 80 nucleotides in length.
Source: RNAcentral
GGGCGAUUAGCUCAGUUGGGAGAGCACCUCCCUUACAAGGAGGGGUCACUGGUUCGAGCCCGGUAUCGCCCACCA